Small nucleolar RNA from Ailuropoda melanoleuca (giant panda), 167 nucleotides. The record is from Ensembl. NCBI's taxonomy places the organism in Eukaryota, Metazoa, Chordata, Mammalia, Carnivora, Ursidae.
AUGGCAAUCUUUUUAUAGGUAUUAUAUAAGGAAAAUUACUUAAGUAAAAAUUUCACAAUGAACUCACAAGUGUAGGUAGUGUGCUACAUGGGGGGCAAGUCUUUUGCUAACACCACAAGGGUUUCUGGCUCAAUGAGUGGAGUCUGAUGGUAAUUCAUGCUACAUGU